Molecule: non-coding RNA, 279 nt
Organism: Dipodomys ordii (Ord's kangaroo rat)
Lineage: Eukaryota; Metazoa; Chordata; Mammalia; Rodentia; Heteromyidae
Source: Rfam
AGAUGUGAGGGCAAUCUGACUGCGACAUCUGUCACCCCAUUGAUGGCCAGGGCUGAUUCGGCUGAUCUGGCUGGCUAGGUGGGUGUCCCCCUCCUCCCUCAGUACUCCAUGUGCGUCCCUCCCGAAGCUGUACUUGGUGGAAGAGGACGACCAUCCCCAAUAAAGGAGGACCUAUUUUUGGUCAAGGGUAUACGAGUAGCUGCGCUCUCCUGCUAGAACCUCCAAACAAGCUCUCAAGAUCUACAAGACACUAUGUUGAAAAGAACUUUACAACUUGGG